CAAUAGCGUAUAUUUAAGUUGCUGCAGUUAAAAAGCUCGUAGUUGGAUUUCGGGUGGGGCCUGCCGGUCCGCCGUUUCGGUGUGCACUGGCCGGGCCCACCUUGUUGCCGGGGACGAGCUCCUGGGCUUUAUUGUCCGGGACUCGGAGUCGGCGAGGUUACUUUGAGUAAAUUAGAGUGUUCAAAGCAGGCCACCGCUCUGAAUACAUUAGCAUGGAAUAACACGAUAGGACUCUGGCCUAUCUUGUUGGUCUGUAGGACCGGAGUAAUGAUUAAGAGGGACAGUCGGGGGCAUUCGUAUUUCAUUGUCAGAGGUGAAAUUCUUGGAUUUAUGAAAGACGAAC
This 343-nucleotide ribosomal RNA is filed under the name uncultured Chlorophyta. Its description in RNAcentral is "SSU rRNA". It matches the Rfam family "Eukaryotic small subunit ribosomal RNA", at positions 592 to 940 of the family's 1831-position model. The record is from RNAcentral. Lineage: Eukaryota; Viridiplantae; Chlorophyta.